GUGAGGGCGAGUCCCCUAGCCGAGGCGAGACCCAGCAAAGGUCGGUCUCGCCCAGACCAGAUUUGGCAAGGCCGACACUCGCCUAGGCGAGGCCCACCCUUGCCCAGGCUAGGCAGCCUCGCCUGAUCUAGGCGAGGGUCAAGCUCGCCGGGCCUCGCCUGUGGCGAGUGAGGCCAGACCGACGGCCAUGGCCGGUGGAGGGGCUUUGUCUCUUUGCUUGUCGUGGCUUACUCUCUUUCCUCUCUCUCUCUCUCUCUCUCUCUUGCGGACAUCGAUGAGCGCCGGAUCGUUGGUGAGCGUGAAACCUUGAUUUUGUCCUCUUGCUUGUCUCGUCUCUUUCGUUGUUCCCUUCCUUCCUUCCUUUCCCCAUGGCCGAAACCCUAGCCCUGCGUCCAGAGCCAACCGGGGAGGCCGAUGCGGGCGCGAAGCUCGGCAAUGCCGGAGGGGCGAGGGUGGAGAUCGACACGUCGGCCCCGUUCGAGUCCGUCAAAGAGGCGGUGAGCUGGUUCGGCGGGAUCGGUUUCUGGAGGCCCUCUCGUCUUCUCAAGUCCCCUGAAACUCAGGUCUUUCGUUCCAGUUGGAGGGACCAACUUUAGGCGUCGUUGGGGGAGUAGUUUCUUGGUUUUCUUGGCCAAGAACCACGACAGCAGCUAGUAAGUAAGGCAAAGAUCUCAGCUAAGUUGUUAUAAGAUUUUAAGGAGAAAAAUUGAGAUAGAGCCGUGUCUUGGUUGCUGGUCUAAACUGUAGCCUGAUUCACUUUUGCUGUGAAUCAGGUGUAUGGUAGGUUAAUGUAUCCUACUUUUUUGGGCUGUCUUAAGUUGUUUGUGUGUAACAAGUUGCUGGUGUCUACUGUGUGUGCGUGAGUUGUAAUGUGUACCAUGUUAAGGGAGAGAGAAGAGCAUGCUUAGGAGUAUUCUGUUAGUGCGUGGUUACUGAUGAUGGUUUUCAUGAGCUGUGUGUGUUAAUUGUGAGCAUUGAAAAUUGGUACUGGAAGCAUGUGAGCUGUAUCCGCAUUAUGUGUGCACUGUAAUUUGUGAGAUGUGCAUGUGUGGAGCAAUGGCUUUGUGAUGUUGCUGCACAAUUGAAUGUGCUGGUGCGAGUUGAAUGAGGGUGUUGCUUGUGCUGUGUGCUUUGUUAGGCGCGAGCUGGUGUAGAACUGAGUGAACUGCUGGUAUGGGUAUGCAUGAGCUGUGUGUGUAUGCUGUCAGUGUGGUGUGUGUGCUGGAGAUGUAAAAAUGCUUGUGCUAUGUAGGAGCUUCAAAUGCUGACUGUGGACACGUGUGAUGUUCAUGAGUGAGCUUGAGUCUGUUGGUGGAUGUGUGUGUGAUGUUCAUGAGUGAGCUGUGAGUCUGUUGGUUGUGCUGCGUAAGCCAGUGCAAGGAUUAGCAAGACUAAGGAGAGGGCCAUAAGCUGCAAGUUGCAGCAGCUCCAUGAGAUGCAAAUUGCAGCAGCUAGGGCUGCUAAUUACGAUCUUUCUGCCUGUGACUGGCAGCUCUCCAAGAGCUCAACCAGUCCCUCCUGUAAGCUCCUGAACAAAAGAGAAAUGAUUUUGGUUCAUUCCUUAUGUAUAUCAAUGCAACUAUGCCCGUAUGAGAUGCUUAUACAAGCUAGGAUCGUGUGUUAAAAUGCAUUCUUGGUGUUAGAAGCCAUAAAGGUUGGGCUUGAACCGGAAUUUGUGUUCUCAUGAAUUUUAUCCCUCUGCCCAGAUACUAUCCAGAUUUUAAUUAGGAAUAUUAAGCCCGAUUUAAAUGUCACUUCAGGCAAUAAGUACAUAUGUUAAGAUUAUAAGAAUGUGAUGCAGUUGAUGUAUGUUGAUUUGGUGCCAAUUUCUCAUCAUCAGCGUUCUUGUGAAAUGUAUAGGUUUUGAGUCUGGGCUGUUUGUCAUCAUCGAGACCUUUGGUGAUGGACUCUAGCCUUACUUUCAGCUAUUCGGCAAGUCAAGCCAACUCUUGCUGGUUUCUAUGGCCGGGGAAUGGGCUACUUACUGCCUUUAAUAUUUAUCUGCCGUCAUUAACAUCAUGAUUUAGUUUGAAUCUUGGUUUAGUGUAUAUUGUAUAUUUUAUUAUUGUAGCAUUUCAAAUUAAGUAAUUCUUGUCAUACA
This is an RNA transcript of Eucalyptus grandis, 2101 nucleotides long. RefSeq lists it as uncharacterized. The record is from RefSeq and is a predicted model, not a curated record. The transcript has 2 exons. Lineage: Eukaryota; Viridiplantae; Streptophyta; Magnoliopsida; Myrtales; Myrtaceae.